GAGUGGCGAACGGGUGAGUAACACGUGGGUGAUCUGCCCUGCACUUCGGGAUAAGCCUGGGAAACUGGGUCUAAUACCGGAUAUGACCACGCGCUUCAUGGUGUGUGGUGGAAAGCUUUUGCGGUGUGGGAUGGGCCCGCGGCCUAUCAGCUUGUUGGUGGGGUAAUGGCCUACCAAGGCGACGACGGGUAGCCGGCCUGAGAGGGUGUCCGGCCACACUGGGACUGAGAUACGGCCCAGACUCUACGGGAGGCAGCAGUGGGGAAUAUUGCACAAUGGGCGCAAGCCUGAUGCAGCGACGCCGCGUGAGGGAUGACGGCCUUCGGGUUGUAAACCUCUUUCAGCAGGGACGAAGCGCAAGUGACGGUACCUGUAGAAGAAGCACMGGCCAACUACGUGCCAGCAGCCGCGGUAAUACGUAGGGUGCGAGCGUUGUCCGGAAUUACUGGGCGUAAAGAGCUCGUAGGUGGUUUGCCGCGUCGUUCGUGAAAACUCACA
RNAcentral lists this ribosomal RNA (498 nucleotides) under Mycobacterium petroleophilum. Its description in RNAcentral is "bacterial SSU rRNA". It matches the Rfam family "Bacterial small subunit ribosomal RNA", at positions 93 to 606 of the family's 1533-position model. The record is from RNAcentral. Lineage: Bacteria; Bacillati; Actinomycetota; Actinomycetes; Mycobacteriales; Mycobacteriaceae.